RNAcentral lists this ribosomal RNA (302 nucleotides) under uncultured prokaryote. RNAcentral describes it as "bacterial SSU rRNA". It matches the Rfam family "Bacterial small subunit ribosomal RNA", at positions 339 to 635 of the family's 1533-position model. The record is from RNAcentral.
CCUCGGGCGGCAGCAGUGAGGAAUUUUGCGCAAUGGGGGAAACCCUGACGCAGCAACGCCGCGUGGGCGAUGAAGGCCUUCGGGUCGUAAAGCCCUGUCGGGCGGGAAGAACGCUCUUGGUCGAAGGACUGGGGGGUGACGGUACCGCCAGAGGAAGCACCGGCUAACUCCGUGCCAGCAGCCGCGGUAAUACGGAGGGUGCAAGCGUUAUUCGGAAUUACUGGGCGUAAAGGGCGUGCAGGCGGGAGAGGAAGUCUGAUGUGAAAGCCCGUGGCUGAACCCCGGAAGGGCAGUGGAAACUG